Molecule: non-coding RNA, 25 nt
Filed under: Rattus norvegicus (Norway rat)
Lineage: Eukaryota; Metazoa; Chordata; Mammalia; Rodentia; Muridae
Source: RNAcentral
UCACCGUGUUGUGUGAAACGAGCCA